Molecule: ribosomal RNA, 253 nt
Filed under: uncultured bacterium
Lineage: Bacteria
Description: partial 16S ribosomal RNA
Rfam family: Bacterial small subunit ribosomal RNA
Source: RNAcentral
UACGUAGGGUGCAGGCGUUAAUCGGAAUUACUGGGCGUAAAGCGUGCGCAGGCGGUUUCUUAAGUCAGAUGUGAAAGCCCCGGGCUUAACCUGGGAACUGCGUUUGAAACUGGGAGACUUGAGUGUGGCAGAGGGGGGUGGAAUUCCACGUGCAGCAGUGAAAUGCGUAGAUAUGUGGAGGAACACCGAUGGCGAAGGCAGCCCCCUGGGUUAACACUGACGCUCAUGCACGAAAGCGUGGGGAGCAAACAGG